CUGCUAUGACGGGGGAUCCGGCCUGAGAGGGUGAACGGACACACUGGAACUGAGACACGGUCCAGACUCCUACGGGAGGCAGCAGUAGGGAAUAUUGCUCAAUGGGGGAAACCCUGAAGCAGCAACGCCGCGUGGAGGAUGAAGGUUUUAGGAUUGUAAACUCCUUUUGUUAGAGAAGAUAAUGACGGUAUCUAACGAAUAAGCACCGGCUAACUCCGUGCCAGCAGCCGCGGUAAUACGGAGGGUGCAAGCGUUACUCGGAAUCACUGGGCGUAAAGAGCGCGUAGGCGGGAUAGUCAGUCAGGUGUGAAAUCCUAUGGCUUAACCAUAGAACUGCAUUUGAAACUACUAUUCUAGAGUGUGGGAGAGGUAGGUGGAAUUCUUGGUGUAGGGGUAAAAUCCGUAGAGAUCAAGAGGAAUACUCAUUGCGAAGGCGACCUGCUGGAACAUUACUGACGCUGAUUGCGCGAAAGCGUGGGGAGCAAACAGGAUUAGAUACCCUGGUAGUCCACGCCCUAAACGAUGGAUGCUAGUUGUUGGAGGGCUUAGUCUCUCCAGUAAUGCAGCUAACGCAUUAAGCAUCCCGCCUGGGGAGUACGGUCGCAAGAUUAAAACUCAAAGGAAUAGACGGGGACCCGCACAAGCGGUGGAGCAUGUGGUUUAAUUCGAAGAUACACGAAGAACCUUACCUAGGCUUGACAUUGAGAGAAUCCGCUAGAAAUAGUGGAGUGUCUAGCUUGCUAGACCUUGAAAACAGGUGCUGCACGGCUGUCGUCAGCUCGUGUCGUGAGAUGUUGGGUUAAGUCCCGCAACGAGCGCAACCCCCUUUCUUAGUUGCUAACAGGUCAUGCUGAGAACUCUAAGGAUACUGCCUCCGUAAGGAGGAGGAAGGUGGGGACGACGUCAAGUCAUCAUGGCCCUUACGCCUAGGGCUACACACGUGCUACAAUGGGGUGCACAAAGAGAAGCAAUACUGCGAAGUGGAGCCAAUCUUCAAAACGCCUCUCAGUUCGGAUUGUAGGCUGCAACUCGCCUGCAUGAAGCUGGAAU
Molecule: ribosomal RNA, 1050 nt
Filed under: Helicobacter pylori
Lineage: Bacteria; Pseudomonadati; Campylobacterota; Epsilonproteobacteria; Campylobacterales; Helicobacteraceae
Description: bacterial SSU rRNA
Rfam family: Bacterial small subunit ribosomal RNA
Source: RNAcentral